RNAcentral lists this ribosomal RNA (1245 nucleotides) under Arthrobacter sp. Its description in RNAcentral is "bacterial SSU rRNA". It matches the Rfam family "Bacterial small subunit ribosomal RNA", at positions 209 to 1461 of the family's 1533-position model. The record is from RNAcentral. Lineage: Bacteria; Bacillati; Actinomycetota; Actinomycetes; Micrococcales; Micrococcaceae.
UUUAUUGUGGUUUUGGAUGGACUCGCGGCCUAUCAGCUUGUUGGUGAGGUAAUGGCUUACCAAGGCGACGACGGGUAGCCGGCCUGAGAGGGUGACCGGCCACACUGGGACUGAGACACGGCCCAGACUCCUACGGGAGGCAGCAGUGGGGAAUAUUGCACAAUGGGCGCAAGCCUGAUGCAGCGACGCCGCGUGAGGGAUGACGGCCUUCGGGUUGUAAACCUCUUUCAGUAGGGAAGAAGCGAAAGUGACGGUACCUGCAGAAGAAGCGCCGGCUAACUACGUGCCAGCAGCCGCGGUAAUACGUAGGGCGCAAGCGUUAUCCGGAAUUAUUGGGCGUAAAGAGCUCGUAGGCGGUUUGUCGCGUCUGCCGUGAAAGUCCGGGGCUCAACUCCGGAUCUGCGGUGGGUACGGGCAGACUAGAGUGAUGUAGGGGAGACUGGAAUUCCUGGUGUAGCGGUGAAAUGCGCAGAUAUCAGGAGGAACACCGAUGGCGAAGGCAGGUCUCUGGGCAUUAACUGACGCUGAGGAGCGAAAGCAUGGGGAGCGAACAGGAUUAGAUACCCUGGUAGUCCAUGCCGUAAACGUUGGGCACUAGGUGUGGGGGACAUUCCACGUUUUCCGCGCCGUAGCUAACGCAUUAAGUGCCCCGCCUGGGGAGUACGGCCGCAAGGCUAAAACUCAAAGGAAUUGACGGGGGCCCGCACAAGCGGCGGAGCAUGCGGAUUAAUUCGAUGCAACGCGAAGAACCUUACCAAGGCUUGACAUGAACCGGUAAUACCUGGAGACAGGUGCCCCGCUUGCGGUCGGUUUACAGGUGGUGCAUGGUUGUCGUCAGCUCGUGUCGUGAGAUGUUGGGUUAAGUCCCGCAACGAGCGCAACCCUCGUUCUAUGUUGCCAGCACGUGAUGGUGGGGACUCAUAGGAGACUGCCGGGGUCAACUCGGAGGAAGGUGGGGACGACGUCAAAUCAUCAUGCCCCUUAUGUCUUGGGCUUCACGCAUGCUACAAUGGCCGGUACAAAGGGUUGCGAUACUGUGAGGUGGAGCUAAUCCCAAAAAGCCGGUCUCAGUUCGGAUUGGGGUCUGCAACUCGACCCCAUGAAGUCGGAGUCGCUAGUAAUCGCAGAUCAGCAACGCUGCGGUGAAUACGUUCCCGGGCCUUGUACACACCGCCCGUCAAGUCACGAAAGUUGGUAACACCCGAAGCCGGUGGCCUAACCCCUUGUGGGAGGGAGCUGUCGAAG